GCGGGUAUGGUUCAGUGGUAGAAUGCGACCUUCCCAAGGUCGAGAUACGGGUUCGAUUCCCGUUACCCGCU
Molecule: transfer RNA, 71 nt
Filed under: bacterium
Lineage: Bacteria
Description: tRNA-Gly
Rfam family: tRNA
About the family: Transfer RNA (tRNA) molecules are approximately 80 nucleotides in length. Their secondary structure includes four short double-helical elements and three loops (D, anti-codon, and T loops). Further hydrogen bonds mediate the characteristic L-shaped molecular structure. tRNAs have two regions of fundamental functional importance: the anti-codon, which is responsible for specific mRNA codon recognition, and the 3' end, to which the tRNAs corresponding amino acid is attached (by aminoacyl-tRNA synthetases). tRNAs cope with the degeneracy of the genetic code in two manners: having more than one tRNA (with a specific anti-codon) for a particular amino acid; and 'wobble' base-pairing, i.e. permitting non-standard base-pairing at the 3rd anti-codon position.
Source: RNAcentral